Molecule: ribosomal RNA, 573 nt
Filed under: uncultured Gammaproteobacteria bacterium
Lineage: Bacteria; Pseudomonadati; Pseudomonadota; Gammaproteobacteria
Description: bacterial SSU rRNA
Rfam family: Bacterial small subunit ribosomal RNA
Source: RNAcentral
UGCAGUCGAACGUGAAAGCACUUCGGUGUGAGUAGAGUGGCGGACGGGUGAGUAACGCGUGGGAAUCUACCCAGUAGUGGGGGACAACUACCGGAAACGGUAGCUAAUACCGCAUACGCCCUAUGGGGGAAAGGCUUCGGCCGCUAUUGGAUGAGCCCGCGUCAGAUUAGCUAGUUGGUAGGGUAAAGGCCUACCAAGGCAACGAUCUGUAGCUGGUCUGAGAGGACGAACAGCCACACUGGGACUGAGACACGGCCCAGACUCCUACGGGAGGCAGCAGUGGGGAAUAUUGGACAAUGGGCGAAAGCCUGAUCCAGCAAUGCCGCGUGUGUGAAGAAGGCCUGCGGGUUGUAAAGCACUUUCAGUUGGGAAGAUGAUGACGUUACCAACAGAAGAAGCACCGGCUAAAUCCGUGCCAGCAGCCGCGGUAAUACGGAUGGUGCGAGCGUUAAUCGGAAUUACUGGGCGUAAAGCGCGCGUAGGCGGCUAAGUCAGUCAGAAGUGAAAGCCCCGGGCUCAACCUGGGAAUUGCUUUUGAUACUGCUUGGCUAGAGUUUGGUAGAGGAUAGUGGA